Molecule: long non-coding RNA, 220 nt
Organism: Psammomys obesus (fat sand rat)
Lineage: Eukaryota; Metazoa; Chordata; Mammalia; Rodentia; Muridae
Exons: 2
Source: RefSeq, a predicted model, not a curated record
UGCGCCUGCGCACCUCCCUUCCCUGAAGCCGCUCCUUACCCCGGACUAGGUGGGGCUAUAAAUGUUCGGGCUGGCCACACUUGGUCCUCCGGGGAGUACUCCACGCGUGUUGUCGCUCUGCUCGGGUUCCACUGGAUUUGGAGGUCUUCGUAACCGCCGCCUCGUUCGAGAAUAUGGCAGGGUCCGGGUUUUUCCCUCAAAUAAAAUGAUUUAACUUAAA